Molecule: ribosomal RNA, 254 nt
Filed under: uncultured bacterium
Lineage: Bacteria
Description: partial 16S ribosomal RNA
Rfam family: Bacterial small subunit ribosomal RNA
Source: RNAcentral
UACAGAGGUCUCAAGCGUUGUCCGGAAUUAUUGGGCGUAAAGAGCUUGUAGGCGGUUUGUCGCGUCUGCUGUGAAAUUUCGGGGCUCAACCCCGAACUUGCAGUGGGUACGGGCAGACUAGAGUGUGGUAGGGGAGACUGGAAUUCCUGGUGUAGCGGUGAAAUGCGCAGAUAUCAGGAGGAACACCGAUGGCGAAGGCAGGUCUCUGGGCCACUACUGACGCUGAGAAGCGAAAGCAUGGGGAGCGAACAGGG